RNAcentral lists this ribosomal RNA (292 nucleotides) under uncultured bacterium. RNAcentral describes it as "partial 16S ribosomal RNA". It matches the Rfam family "Archaeal small subunit ribosomal RNA", at positions 455 to 747 of the family's 1478-position model. The record is from RNAcentral.
GUGCCAGCCGCCGCGGUAAUACCGGCAGCCCAAGUGAUGGCCGAUCUUAUUGGGCCUAAAGCGUCCGUAGCUGGCUGCGCAAGUCCGUCGGGAAAUCCACUCGCCCAACGAGUGGGCGUCCGACGGAAACUGUUCGGCUUGGGGCCGGAGGACCCGAGGGGUACGUCCGGGGUAGGAGUGAAAUCCUGUAAUCCUGGACGGACCGCCGGUGGCGAAAGCACUUCGAGAAAACGGAUCCGACAGUGAGGGACGAAAGCCAGGGUCUCCAACCGGAUUAGAAACCUGGUAGUCC